GUGACCAUCUUUACCCUGCAGCCGGGCUUUCUCCUUUGUCUGUUUUUCUACCAAGAAUAAUUGACUGAUGCGUGGAUUUGCUUGGCUCACUAUAUUUUUAUUGAGCACAGUGUAGCAAUCUCAUUUCCCCUGAAUACUGCUCAAAAUUUUUAAUAUAUACUUCACCAUCAGAUGCCCUACUAAGAAGGGAAGUUGUGGAAGUUGGUGUAGUCACUGACAGAACUAGAGCUAGAAGUUAGACAUUUUGAGUGAAGAUAAAACGUGUGGACAACAAAACAGCUUAAAGGCUGAAACGGUGUCUGUUCCUCUCUCUUCAUUUCCCUCGUGAUUAAUGAGAAACGUUCCCAGACCUGAGCGUCCUGAAGUGAAGCCGCAGCCCACCACAUGCGGCUCCUGUUCUGGAGAGCCUGGAGAGCACAGCUCAGCCUCCCUGGAUAACGGCCCGUAGUCUGGAUGGGGCUGCUCCAGGUCUCCACUGGAGCUGCCUGUGGACGCUGCCCUCUUGCUGACACCCAUGCGCGGUGGCUGCAGAGGUAAUGAGAGUGCUGGACACAGUGACCACAGCCUCAGGACUGGAGCUGCACCUUGCGAGGUGAUGCAGGCAUCACAGACCGAGGUCAUCGCGGCUCACUGGAGCCUAGGGCCCUGCGGUGAUUUUCUGGGCCUGUUGUUACUGAACAGUGGAGAGAAGUAAUGUGACA
This is a long non-coding RNA of Cavia porcellus (domestic guinea pig), 701 nucleotides long. RefSeq lists it as uncharacterized. The record is from RefSeq and is a predicted model, not a curated record. Lineage: Eukaryota; Metazoa; Chordata; Mammalia; Rodentia; Caviidae. The transcript is spliced from 3 exons.